Molecule: long non-coding RNA, 876 nt
Organism: Megalobrama amblycephala (Wuchang bream)
Lineage: Eukaryota; Metazoa; Chordata; Actinopteri; Cypriniformes; Xenocyprididae
Exons: 2
Source: RefSeq, a predicted model, not a curated record
CACUGCUUCACCAUCACAGUAAGAUUGUUGGAGAAAAACAGCUGUACUGAAAACUGUAAUGUUUGAUUCUGUCGCAGGUUUUCUCAAGCACAAUUUCAUUGUCUGGACAAGCUAAAGCUGCAGAAUGAAAGAGAUCGUCCUGCAUGAUAGCUUGUGUAUUUGCACACAUCAUACUAACAAAAAACUCUUACCAGAAGUCAUGAGCUGGAGCUCCAACUUUGUGAUGCUGUUUGCAAAUGUUUGUUUGAACGCUGGUUUCAGUAAACAGAGUAUGGUUGAACUAUGUUGGUAAUGACAGUCGGCUAAUGAUGUUUUUGGGAAAUGCACUCCAACGCACUCUUUGAAAGCCCCUUUUUGGAUGAUCAAACUACUUCUGCAUAUUAAACUGUGAUAGGAGAAAGUGUUUUAAUGACACAUCACCUAACAGAUGAAGAACUUCUCAUAAAUGUCAAUGUUGAUUAGAAGAGAGGUUUCUAGGAAUAUAUGGGCAACAUUAAGGAACAGUGUUCGCAACAUCAGACAUCAAGUCGAAUACUUUGUUAAGCAGCUCUUUCUUGUGUUUAUUGUUUAGUGCCAGGCUCAGUUCAGCUCAGUUCAUGGCUGAACACAGGAAACCUGCACAUUCCCCGUCUUCCUCUGGGUGGGUCGCCUGUUACUUGUGUGUCUUUGAGAGACUAUUUUCAUGAACACACAAUGGGAAAGUACAUUAAGAGCCUUUCCUCCGUGUGUGUUUGCGAGUUGUGUGGCAUUAUGCUCAGAGUCUAAUGUUAAGCAUUCAAUGGCCAUUGUGAACACCUAAUGUUGUCAUUCACUGGCAUUAUGAAAGGUACAGUCUCUAUUAAUAUAUUAAUAUAUAUAUAUAUAUAUAUAUAUAUA